AACCAUUCUCACCUGCGGCUAGACCUGCGGAGGGAUCAUUAUCGAGUGUAACUGACCCCCUAAAAAAGGGUAGUACCUCCCGUCCUUUGCAGGCCCCCUUUUUAUGGGGGGCUUUUUUUAAGACUUUCUGCUUCGGCGGGGUUACUCCCGCCGGAACACCCUCAAAAAACUCUCAAAAAAACCGUUCAGUCCGAGAACUUUUUAAAAAUAUAAAAAAAAACUUUCAGCAACGGAUCUCAG
This 240-nucleotide unclassified non-coding RNA is filed under the name soil metagenome. RNAcentral describes it as "partial contains 5.8S ribosomal RNA, internal transcribed spacer 2, and large subunit ribosomal RNA". The record is from RNAcentral.